GAUGAAGAACGCAGCGAAAUGCGAUAAGUAGUGUGAAUUGCAGAAUUCAGUGAAUCAUCGAAUCUUUGAACGCACAUUGCGCCCUCUGGUAUUCCGGAGGGCAUGCCUGUUCGAGCGUCAUUAAAACUACUCAAGCUAAGGUUUUACCUUCUGCUUGGUCUUGGGUUUGAGGAUUCAAAAUCCUCUCUCCGAAAUCCAGUGGCGAAUUGUUUGAGCUGUAGACGUAGUAAAUCAUUCUACCCGUUGCAAGCGAGAAUAAUAUUCAGCCAUAACCCCCAUACUUUUCUAGUUUGACCUCGGAUCAGGUAGGGAUACCCGCUGAACUUAAGCAUAUCAAUAAGCGGAGGA
Molecule: unclassified non-coding RNA, 348 nt
Filed under: soil metagenome
Description: partial contains 5.8S ribosomal RNA, internal transcribed spacer 2, and large subunit ribosomal RNA
Rfam family: 5.8S ribosomal RNA (bases 1-120)
Source: RNAcentral